UUGGUCAAGCUACAAAGGGCUCAUGGUGGAUACCUUGGCACACAGAGGCGAUGAAGGACGUAGUUACCUGCGAUAAGUCUCGGGGAGCUGGACACACGCUUUGAUCCGGGAAUUUCCGAAUGGGGCAACCCCUAGUACGGCCAGCUGAAUCCAUAGGCUGGUGCGAGCCAACCCAGCGAACUGAAACAUCUUAGUAGCUGGAGGAAAGGAAAGUAAAAACGACUCCCUAAGUAGCGGCGAGCGAACGGGGAAGAGCCUAAACCGAUGGUUUCGACCAUCGGGGUUGUGGGACAGUAAUGUGUAUCAGGGAUGUUAGGAGAAGUGUUUGAAUGGCACACCACAGAGGGUGAAAGUCCCGUAACCGAAAACUGAACUGAACUAGCUGUAUCCCGAGUAGCACGGAGCACGUGAAAUUCCGUGUGAAUCCGCGAGGACCACCUCGUAAGGCUAAGUACUACUGUGUGACCGAUAGCGCAACAGUACCGCGAGGGAAAGGUGAAAAGAACCCCGGGAGGGGAGUGAAAUAGAACAUGAAACCAUGAGCCUACAAGCAAUGGGAGCCCGACUAAAUCGGGUGACCGUGUGCCUGUUGAAGAAUGAGCCGGCGACUUAUAGGCACUGGCAGGUUAAACCGGAAAUGGUGGAGCCAUAGCGAAAGCGAGUCUGAAUAGGGCGAUCGUCAGUGUUUAUAGACCCGAACCCGGGUGAUCUAACCAUGGCCAGGAUGAAGCUUGGGUGAUACCAAGUGGAGGUCCGAACCGACUGAUGUUGAAAAAUCAGCGGAUGAGCUGUGGUUAGGGGUGAAAUGCCAAUCGAACCCGGAGCUAGCUGGUUCUCCCCGAAAUACGUUGAGGCGUAGCGUCUAGUGCUCCAGCAGGGGGGUAAAGCCACCAUUUCGGUGCGGGCUGCGAGAGCGGUACCUAAUCGAGAUGAACUCUGAAUACCCUGUGUGUAACUAGGCAGUCAGACUGUGGGGGAUAAGCUCCAUGGUCGAAAGGGAAACAGCCCAGACCGCCAGCUAAGGUCCCCAAAUCAACACUAAGUGAUAAAGGAGGUGGGAUUGCCCAGACAACCAGGAGGUUUGCCUAGAAGCAGCCAUCCUCAAAGGAGUGCGUAAUAGCUCACUGGUCGAGCGAUCCUGCGCCGAAAAUGAACGGGGCUAAGUGUUGUACCGAAGCUGCGGAUUUAACUUGUUAAAUGGUAGGGGAGCGUUCUAUGUGGGGCGAAGCGUUAGCGUAAGCGGGCGUGGACUGCAUAGAAGUGAGAAUGUCGGCUUGAGUAGCGAAAACAUGGGUGAGAAUCCCAUGCCCCGAAACCCUAAGGGUUCCUCCGGCAGGCUCGUCCGCGGAGGGUUAGUCUGGACCUAAGGCGAGGCCGAAAGGCGUAGUCGAUGGAUAACAGGUCAACAUUCCUGUACCGGUUAUGUUUUGGGAAGGGGGACGGAGAAGGCUAGCCAAGCCAGAUGUUGGUUACUGGUUUAAGCGUUCGAGGCGUUGAGGAGCGGCGAAAACGUUCUGAGCUAAGGCGUGAAUACGAGCUGCUACGGCAGCGAAGUUGGUGAUGUCAUGCUUCCAAGAAAAGCCCUAUACCCGUUAAGGCAUAACUGCCAGUACCCGAAACCGACACAGGUAGGGUGGUAGAGAAUACCGAGGGGCGCGAGAUAACUCUCUCUAAGGAACUCGGCAAAAUGGCCCCGUAACUUCGGGAGAAGGGGUGCCAGCGAGAGCUGGUCGCAGUGAAGAGGCCCAGGCGACUGUUUACCAAAAACACAGGUCUCCGCUAAGUCGCAAGACGAUGUAUGGGGGCUGACGCCUGCCCAGUGCCGGAAGGUUAAGGAAGCCGGUCAGCGUAAGCGAAGCUGGCGACUGAAGCCCCGGUGAACGGCGGCCGUAACUAUAACGGUCCUAAGGUAGCGAAAUUCCUUGUCGGGUAAGUUCCGACCCGCACGAAAGGCGUAACGAUCUGGGCGCUGUCUCGGAGAGAGGCUCGGCGAAAUAGAAUUGUCUGUGAAGAUGCGGACUACGUACACCCGGACAGAAAGACCCUAUGAAGCUUUACUGUAGCUUGGUAUUGUGCCCGGGCUCUGAAUGCGCAGGAUAGGUGGGAGACGUUGAAGUAGUGCUCGUGGGUGCUACUGAGUCAAUGGUGAGAUACCACUCUUUCAGAGCUAGGGUUCUAACGUUCACCCGUUAUCCGGGGAGCGGACAGUAUCAGGUGGGCAGUUUGACUGGGGCGGUCGCCUCCUAAAAGGUAACGGAGGCGCGCAAAGGUUCCCUCAGGCUGGUUGGAAAUCAGUCGACGAGUGCAAAGGCAGAAGGGAGCUUGACUGUGAGACCUACAAGUCGAACAGGGACGAAAGUCGGCCUUAGUGAUCCGACGGUUCUGAGUGGAAGGGCCGUCGCUCAACGGAUAAAAGUUACUCUAGGGAUAACAGGCUGAUCUCCCCCAAGAGUUCACAUCGACGGGGAGGUUUGGCACCUCGAUGUCGGCUCAUCGCAACCUGGGGCUGAAGUCGGUCCCAAGGGUUGGGCUGUUCGCCCAUUAAAGCGGUACGCGAGCUGGGUUCAGAACGUCGUGAGACAGUUCGGUCCAUAUCCGGUGUACGCGCAGGAACAUUGAGAGGAUUUCUCCCUAGUACGAGAGGACCGGGAGGAACGCACCUCUGGUGUACCAGUUAUCGUGCCAACGGUAAACGCUGGGUAGCCAUGUGCGGAGUGGAUAACCGCUGAAAGCAUCUAAGUGGGAAGCCCACCUCAAGAUGAGUGUUCCCAUGGCAUAAGCCAGUAAGGUCACGGGAAGAACACCCGUUGAUAGGCUCUACGUGGAAGUCCAGUAAUGGAUGCAGCGGAGGAGUACUAAUAGACCGAGGGCUUGACCAU
RNAcentral lists this ribosomal RNA (2879 nucleotides) under Prochlorococcus sp. P1361. RNAcentral's name for it is "Cyanobacteria bacterium 150NLHA 23S ribosomal RNA". It matches the Rfam family "Bacterial large subunit ribosomal RNA". Lineage: Bacteria; Bacillati; Cyanobacteriota; Cyanophyceae; Synechococcales; Prochlorococcaceae. RNAcentral also lists the same sequence under 2 other names. The record is from RNAcentral.